RNAcentral lists this ribosomal RNA (530 nucleotides) under Micromonospora maritima. RNAcentral describes it as "bacterial SSU rRNA". It matches the Rfam family "Bacterial small subunit ribosomal RNA", at positions 31 to 579 of the family's 1533-position model. Lineage: Bacteria; Bacillati; Actinomycetota; Actinomycetes; Micromonosporales; Micromonosporaceae. The record is from RNAcentral.
GAACGCUGGCGGCGUGCUUAACACAUGCAAGUCGAGCGGAAAGGCCCUUCGGGGUACUCGAGCGGCGAACGGGUGAGUAACACGUGAGCAACCUGCCCUAGGCUUUGGGAUAACCCCGGGAAACCGGGGCUAAUACCGAAUAUUACCUCCGAUCGCAUGGUUGGUGGUGGAAAGUUUUUCGGCNUGNGAUGGGCUCGCGGCCUAUCAGCUUGUUGGUGGGGUGAUGGCCUACCAAGGCGACGACGGGUAGCCGGCCUGAGAGGGCGACCGGCCACACUGGGACUGAGACACGGCCCAGACUCCUACGGGAGGCAGCAGUGGGGAAUAUUGCACAAUGGGCGGAAGCCUGAUGCAGCGACGCCGCGUGAGGGAUGACGGCCUUCGGGUUGUAAACCUCUUUCAGCAGGGACGAAGCGUAAGUGACGGUACCUGCAGAAGAAGCGCCGGCCAACUACGUGCCAGCAGCCGCGGUAAGACGUAGGGCGCGAGCGUUGUCCGGAUUUAUUGGGCGUAAAGAGCUCGUAGGCGGC